GUCUACGGCCGUGCUACCCUGAACACACUCGAUCCCUUCUGAUCUCAAGAAGCUAAGCAGGGUCGGGCCUGGUCAGUACUUGGAUGAGAGACCACCUAGGAAGACCAGGUGCUGUAGGCG
Non-coding RNA from Pteropus alecto (black flying fox), 120 nucleotides. Lineage: Eukaryota; Metazoa; Chordata; Mammalia; Chiroptera; Pteropodidae. The record is from Rfam.